Molecule: long non-coding RNA, 1098 nt
Filed under: Glycine max (soybean)
Lineage: Eukaryota; Viridiplantae; Streptophyta; Magnoliopsida; Fabales; Fabaceae
Description: long non-coding RNA (GMAX_LNC003060)
Rfam family: Small nucleolar RNA R24 (bases 181-271)
Source: RNAcentral
AAAAUUCUGAAAUUGUGUGUCAUGAAAUUCUGACAUGUUUUUGCACAUUUUCUCGCAUGUUUUUUAAUUUUAAAUGUUGAGUUGGUUUGUUGAUAAAUAUGACUGUUGGAAAUGCGGUCUGGUACAUCAAGUUUUAGAUGGAAACAAUUUUGAACCUCUGCCAACACAAACAAGUUUCCAAUAGCGGUGAUGAGCCUCUAACAUGUAAGGAGAAAUCCCCAGUUGGGUUUCUUUAAUGAAAUUUGCUUGUUACGCUUGGCUUCUGAGCUCUUAAAAUUCUGAAGUUGUGUCAUGAAUUCUUUUCCUUUUUGCACAUUUUCUCGCAUGUUUUUGCACAUUUUCUCGCAUGUUUUUUAAUUUUAAAUGUUGAGUUGGUUUGUUGAUAAAUAUGACUGUUGGAAAUGCGGUCUGGUACAUCAAGUUUUAAAUGGAAACAAUUUUGAACCUCUGCCAACACAAACAAGUUUCCAAUAGCGGUGAUGAGCCUCUAACAUGUAAGGAGAAAUCCCCAGUUGGGUUUCUUUAAUGAAAUUUGCUUGUUACGCUUGGCUUCUGAGCUCUUAAAAUUCUGAAGUUGUGUCAUGAAUUCUUUUCCUUUUUGUAGGGGGACUUCCCUGUUAUUUGUCAAUGGGAUGGAAUAAAAGAUGUGUAAUUUCCGAAAGCUAUUUCUAUUCUUAUGUGACAAUAAUUUGUUUUCCUUGGUAGCAGGCUAGCUGCAUUUAUAUUUGCUGUCAAUUCCAGUAGCUAAAUAUGCUUUGAAACUCAGCAUCAGCUUCUCAUCUUUUGACAAUAAUGCUUUUUGGGUUUAACUUCCUUUCCCCCCCAGAAACUGCCCCCAAGUGGAUGGGAAAAAUUUAUAUUGCACUUGAAUUUAAAAUAAUUUGAUGCAUCGAACCUUGUUUUGUACGAGUUAUUUUUAGUAGUUAAACAUAUCUUCUUGUCUCUCUAGUUUUUAGUAGUUGGUGUAAUUUAUAUUUGUUGCUUACUUAACAUGCUGAAGAUCCUUAGGCAUUUGUACAACAUAAGUGGAAUUUCUGUGACAUGUUGUACAUUUCCUCAUAUUCUUUUAAAAUUAAAUGAAUGGAUUGGCUUGUUGAG